GCAUAAAUAAAUAUAUUAUCCUAUAAUGCUGAUUUAUGUUUGUGCUUGCAUAUUUGCCAGUCCAUAAAUUAUAUUUAUGAAAAUGCAACUUAUUCUACAUGUUUUGACUCUUCAACAUGAAUUCAUCUUAAAUCAGAUUUCCGGCCCAAUAAAGGCUUAAUAUUUUGUAGCCUGGACAUAUAAUAUGCCAACAUUUAUAUUUUAGUUCCCAAUCAGCAAUGAUCUAUAUCUAGAUUCCUAAAUACAGGACAACAACAAGCAUUUCCCAUGAUAUUUAUUUAUAAAAAUGCUGUAGGUUAAACAUUAAAUAGCCAGAUUCAGUCUUAUUCAUUUUGAUUCAUUUCUCGCAUCACUUACAAAUAGUAUAAUGUUCUUGACAGAUACACUAUCCUCAAAGAAAUGUAAUAUUACUCCAUUAAAAAGUAAUGGGCAACAUCAUUUUAAACACAACUUUUUUGCAUCUAUGAAAAGUUUGAAUACUCUAGCUGGGUUGUGGGAAACAUGGAAAAAGUUUUAACAUAUUUGCAUCUUUUUUCAGCUACCAAUUUUUCAUGCAUGAACCCACAACUGUAAAAAAAAACACAUUAGUAGGUGAUGCACCUGAAACUGAAAAUAGGUGAGAGAAAGCAGAAAGGCCACAAUCAUACUGACACUAUGAAAUAUGUAUGAUGUUUGAUAAUGCAUCCUAAAUGUUUUAUGUAGUGUAAACAUAAAUGAAAAAAAGACAUGCAACAGUCUCCACUGAAAGUUCAAAAUAUCCUCUUACCCACAAACAUACAAGCAAAACACAAACCACAUAAUGAGACACAUGUCUAAAUAACAUCAAUAGCUUUUAAAAAAAUAAAAUUCUGAAAAACAAGGCUAAAGAACAAUAAUUCAUGUGAGUGCUCGGUGAUAUGGCUGUACCAUAAAGGACAUGAAUGCUUAACGAAAGCUUGGUGCAAAUACAUGAACAUCUAAAAAGCUAAAAAAAAAAAAAAAAAAAAAAAAACCUGUACUACAUUUUUCAUAAAAUGUCAGAAAAUUGGAAGUGAAACUGAAAGGUGAAUAUGCGUACUGAGAAUGGGGAGUUAGUAAUUUCCCAUAUCAGAAAGAGGAAACAGAUAGUGUACAAGUAACCACAUGCGUUAAAGGCACAACAUAACACGAAAUGCACUACAGAUUCUGAUGAAUCGCUUGUUGGAUUCUUUUAACAGCUGUUGACCAAAACAAGCGUUAAUUCCUCACAAAUAAACCCAUCUUGGCGAUUGAAUUAGAUGUGCAGUUGCCCUCCAAUCUAACGAAUUAGGGAGCAGUCUUUAUAAUAAGUGAGAAGCAGCAAUUCUGGCUUUCGGUUCUGCUGCAUUUGCUCAGUGCGCAUAUUUUGCCCCCAAAUCUGCACUAAGCAGAAAAACCGUCUCUUUCAAGAGAGGACAGUGUGAAAUGAGAUCAGGACACCGUGUGUGUGUGUGUGUGUGUGUGUGUGAGAGAGAGAGAGAGAGAGAGAGAGAGAGAGAGAGAGAGAGAGAGAGAGAGAGAGAGAGAUGAAAACGUCAAAUCCUCGUCGUUCACCUUUAAAAUACAUCACCGCAGUGUUUGCGUAUUGGAGCUUGGCUGGCGCGCGCAUCGGAAGGGCUCGCUGCACCAUUGCACCUGUUCUCGAGGUUACAAAUCACAGGAAGUCGCUGUACAAAAACGGCGUAUUCGUCGAGCUUAUGGUUUAGACUCGAAAAGAAUUACCCGAGGGAGAAAAAGAGAGAGCGGAAGAGACCAGACAGCUGUCAGACAUCGCUUUGUUGUCGGAAUACAGUGGAGGAUGCAGCCGUGGUCUCUGAAGAGCACAGAGCUUGUGGUUGGCAGUGAACUGAGAGUAACAACGAGGUGUACCUGACUGGGAAACCAAUUUCAGUCAGUCCACAUACAGAUAUAGUCAUUCUGCUGGAUGCUUCCUAUAACAGUAAUGAUGAGAGUAAUCCUGUAUGUUAGAACUUAAAAUGUUCACCGAGAGAUUGAAAUCAUCUCUGGAGCCUGUGCGGCUGUUAUUUUAUUCCAAGGCAGAAGGUUGCGCUCAGCCCUUCUGAAUAUUUUAGUGAAUGAGGAACCUAUUGAACGGAGCUCUUCUGGCAGCACUGGAGAAUUUCAGUGUUCAUGGCUAGAACAGAAACAUUUAUGUUGGUCACUUGAGUUCCCCAAAAACUCCUUAUUCACACAGAUGCAGUACUUUGGAAGGGAGGUGUAACAAAAGGGGCAAGGCCAACUGAAAAGUGAGAGCUUCCCACAACUUCAAAUCAUGCAAUCAGACGAUCUCUUCAUCCGCAAGCUCCGCAGGCAGAGCCCACGCCCGACCCUAGCGAGAGUGAACUUUGACCCCAAGCAGGAUGGUGGUAGCGUGCGGACACGAGUCGUGGCAGAAUGGCCUCCUAGGAGAGAGGGAGAGGAAACAAACAGCGAGACUGUCACACCCAGCGCAGCUGCACUGAACCUGAGGACAGUAGGUCGUGGACACAUAAUGCAGCGCAGCAACAGUGACGUCACCCUUGGAGAUUUGGAUUCAGCGGGGCAAGUCGGAAGGAAGCUGCUCCGAGUAGGGGGGGACAAAUCUGGGACUGUGGGGCCAUGCGAGUCCCUCCACCGAGAGUACGGUAGCCUGUCCUCACUAGAAAGACAAACCCAGAUUGUAGAUCACAGUUCGGAAGAUCAAGGUGUUCUCAGUCCCAGUGCCUUGCGCUUCAGAGAUCCGUUUAUUCUGCUGGGUCUGCAAGAGGCACCUCCGGAGGUGGAUGGCGUGUAUCAAGGAAACUGUUCUCCAGCAGCAGACACAUCAAAACCGGUUAAGCCCCCAAAACCAGAGGGGCUCAAUAAGAAGGCUAAAUCGUCCCCUCUGCAGGCCUCUCAGUUUUCCUAUGACCAAGUCCCAGGUGGUGCUUGGGUGCGCAAUUUUGCACACUAUGACGUACAGAGCAUCCUCUUCGACCUGUCGGAGGCUGCAACCAAUCGAGACAGCAUCGGACGCAAGAAGAACAUCACGUCCGGUGCGUCAGCUGCCUCUCAACUCCGUCCACUUUCACAAUCCACACCUUCCUCAGUUUCUCAGGGCGGAGGGGGCAGCUUGGGAAGCGGGACUGGCUCAGAAGAUGUAGAGCAGUCCUUGCUCGACGAAGGAGAUGGGAACGAUAAUGAUCUCCUGCUUAGCUGUCCUCACUUUCGGAAUGAAAUGGGUGGCGAGGAGAGUGUGGGGCUCAGCCUGCCGCGGGCCAGCAGGCACAGGUGGAGGAGUCUUCAAAGUCCAAACAAUGCUGUGUCCGUGUUAGAGGAGCCCAGGGAGAGCCAUGUCCAGGCACAGGGGAAAAGUAACUACUUCAUAGAGCAUGCAGACCUUGGGGCUCGAUACUAUCACAAGUACUUUUACAUGAAAGACCAUCAGAAUUUCUUUGGCAUGGACGAGCGUUUGGGGCCAGUGGCCGUCAGUUUCCGCAGGGAGGAAAAAGAGGGAUCAAGUGGGUCCCAGUACAACUACAGAAUCAUUUUCAGGACCACUGAACUGAAGACCCUGAGAGGUUCGAUCCUGGAGGAGUCCGUUCCCUCCGCAGCGCGCCACACCACGCCACGCGGCCUUUCGCCCAAGAGACUGCUGGAGUUUAUUUUGCCCGAUCUCAACCUACAUUGCCUCAGACUAGCCUCCACGUCCCCUAAAGUCAGAGACACGCUCCUUAAACUGGACGAGCAGGGGUUGAAUUUCCAGCAUAAGGUGGGCAUUAUGUACUGCAGAGCAGGACAGAGUACUGAAGAGGACAUGUAUAACAAUGAGAGCGCCGGACCAGAGUUCGAUGAGUUUCUGGACCUUCUUGGAGAGCGAGUACGACUCAAGGGCUGGGAGAAAUACAGAGCUCAACUAGACACCAAAACUGACUCCACUGGUACACACUCACUGUAUACUCGCUACCAGGAUUACGAGGUUAUGUUCCAUGUCUCCACCAUGCUUCCAUACACAGCCAACAAUACACAACAGUUACUGAGGAAGAGACAUAUAGGGAAUGAUAUCAUCACUAUAGUCUUCCAGGAGCCAGGUGCUUUACCCUUCACCCCCAAGGCCAUCCGUUCUCACUUUCAGCAUGUGUUCAUCAUUGUCCGAGUACAUGAGCCCUGCACCGAAAACACCUAUUACAGAGUUGCAGUAACUCGUUCCAAGGACAUCCCUCUCUUUGGUCCUCUCUUCCCUAAAGGUGCACGCUUCCCACGUUCUCCUGCCUUCCGGGACUUUCUCCUCGCCAAAGCCAUUAACGCAGAGAAUGCGGCAGAGAAAUCAGAGAAAUUUCGCUCUAUGGCCACACGUACGCGGCAGGAGUACCUGAAAGACCUGGCGGAAAACUAUGUCACCACAACGCCCAUUGAUUCUUCCACCAAAUUCCCCUUGCUGUCGCUGGGCGGGAAGCGCAAAGAGAAGCUGAAGGGAGCGAAAGGUGCAGAGCUUCACAGCGCAGGUGCUUUAGUGUGGGCCGUCACCGUCGUUCAGGGUGGCGAGAACAACGGUCUGAGCCUGUCCUGUCUGCUCGGUGUGUCUGCGGAGUCGGUCGUGCUCAUAGAGCGAUCCACGCGAACCGUCAUAUUUAACUGCAGCUGCCGCGAUGUGAUCGGCUGGAAGGCUGUGACCGAGCCUGGAGCUCAGGGUGGCCCUUCGCUAGAUAUCUUCUAUGAGAGAGGCGAGGCAGUGACUGUCACGACGUCGGAAAGCCAAGUUGAGGAUAUUAAGGAGGUUGUCCAAAGGCUGGAGCUGGUGACUCGAGGCUGUGAGGCACGUGAGGUCAUUCCCCUGCGGGACGGUGUCGGUCAGCCGGGCUUCCUGAUGAGCGAGGAAGGCUUUGUAACGGAGCUCCAGCGGUUCGGAUACGCGGAGAGCGGUGGGCUGCAGCUGGGGGCUCGUGUGGUUCGUCUCUGUGGGCAGGUCCUGGUGCACCUCAGCCUGGAAGAGCGGAGCCGACUCCUCCGCACGGCUCAAAAGAUCCACAUCACAGUCAUUCCUCCAGAUGAAAACGGAAAACCACGCAGGAGUUUCUCUGAGCUUUACCACAAGGCCAUCCAGGACGCGGAGAGCAAAUCUGGAGAGGGACAGUCAGGCGAGGCCUGGGUUCUGGAUGACGAUGAAGAAGUUGAGGUUGAUGGCGGCAGAGGAGAGAAAGAGGAGAAGAAAGAGAUUGAAAAUAAGACGUCAGACAGUGAAACUCUAAAGCAGGAGCUUCUUGGAGAGCAGAUGGUAUUUCCAGAGCCCAUGGAAACAGAUUCGCUCCUCUCCCCACCCAGCCUGCCUCUCUUACGGGCGACGUCCCUGCAGGACAGCAUGAAGAGCCAGAGUCCUGAAGUCACCCCCGUCUCUGUCACACGGAGCUACUCGCUAGAGGAACACCCUCCGUACCAGGACAUGAUUGAAGGGCAUGUGUAUGAUAACGUGGGGCUGAAAGCAAACAGGCACAUCUAUGAAAACCCUACAGAGCUUUGGGGCGAGACCCCUGACCUCAUACUGGCAGUCAAACCCAAAGUGCCUCUGGAGCAAGAGGAACAGUCUGUCUGUGAUCAGGGGCCUGAGGAGAGGCCAUCGGUCAGUGAUGUGACCAUGAGAUCCUCCUGCAUGGAAAGUGCAGAAAGAAACUCCAGAGCUCUGAGCCUCCAUAACUCCAUCACUAAGAUUCUCUCAGAGACCACAGAUUCAUCUGAAGAAGAGUGGCAGUCGAUUUCUGAUCUGGCCAGCGCCUGUCGGAACAUUCUGGAAGCUUUGUCUCGAGAAGACCGGAAGUCAGGAGAUGGAUCACAAGCAUCCCCAGAAAACCAGCCAGGUCAGACAGAAACCAGGUUUAAAGACAUGAAGGACAGUGACUCGCCUGGUCACCUUGAGGAGAAAGUGUCCCAGCUCGAGGCCAUGCUGAAGCGACUGCAGGACGACCUCCAAAAGUCCUUGCCCUCUUCGCUACUUCAAAGAGCCACUGCUACUUCACAGAGCCAAUCACACAGAGGGACUGUAGAGGUAGGGCGGGACAAGCAAAAGAAACCUGUCUUGUCAUUGAGCAGGGUGAACAGAGGAGAUGAGAAGAUUGCUGGAGGGACAAUGGGCAGCCAUGCUCACUCUCAACACUAACCCACCAAUGGCAGUUAAGGUCAGGAAGGGAAAGCGAGGGUGAGCAUGGUUGACUGCAUAAUGUCCCACAGUUUUCCAGCACACUCAUCUAGGAGAAAGAGGACAAGGCAAUGCUGCAAGCAGAGGUGCAAAGUCUCAGGCAGAACAACCAGCGGUUGCAGGAAGAGUCCCAGAGCACCGUGUCACGGCUGAUUAAGGUCACCGAACUGCUCUGCAACGUCAACAAACC
Molecule: RNA transcript, 6335 nt
Organism: Cyprinus carpio (common carp)
Lineage: Eukaryota; Metazoa; Chordata; Actinopteri; Cypriniformes; Cyprinidae
Gene name: signal-induced proliferation-associated protein 1-like
Exons: 18
Source: RefSeq, a predicted model, not a curated record